This 292-nucleotide ribosomal RNA is filed under the name uncultured bacterium. RNAcentral describes it as "partial 16S ribosomal RNA". The record is from RNAcentral.
GGACUACUGGGGUAUCUAAUCCUGUUUGCUCCCCACGCUUUCGUGUCUCAGCGUCAGUACUCGUCCAGUUGGCCGCCUUCGCCACCGGUGUUCCUCUCGAUAUCUACGAAUUUCACCUCUACACCGAGAAUUCCACCAACCUCUCCGGUACUCGAGCCACGCAGUUUCGGGUGCACUUCCCGGGUUGAGCCCGGGGCUUUCACAUCCGACUUGCGCGGCCGCCUACACACGCUUUACGCCCAGUAAUUCCGAACAACGUUUGCACCCUCUGUCUUACCGCGGCUGCUGGCAC